GGUGGUCCAACCAUCACAGCACACACUUGUAAUCCCAGCUACUGGCAAACCUUAGGCUAGUGUAUUUUUUGAACUUAGAAGUUCCGAGUUGCAAUGGGCUAUGCAGAUUGGGAGUCUCUACUAAGUUCAGCAUCAUAUGUUGAGCCCCUGGGAGCAGAGGUGCCACUAGGUCACCUAAGGAGGGGCACACUGGCCAAGGUUGGAAAACAGAGCAGGUCAAACGCCUGUGUUGAUCAUUAGUGAGAUUGAGUCAAUGAAUGGUUGCUGCACUUCAAGAAUAGAUGAGAUGGGGAGAUCCAGGU
This is an unclassified non-coding RNA of Vombatus ursinus (common wombat), 302 nucleotides long. It matches the Rfam family "Metazoan signal recognition particle RNA". Rfam says of the family: The signal recognition particle (SRP) is a universally conserved ribonucleoprotein. It is involved in the co-translational targeting of proteins to membranes. The record is from Ensembl. NCBI's taxonomy places the organism in Eukaryota, Metazoa, Chordata, Mammalia, Diprotodontia, Vombatidae.